ACUGCUCAGUAACACGUGGACAACCUGCCCUUAGGUUGGGUAUAAACCCGGGAAACUGGGUAUAAUACCCGAUAGGUCUCGAUUGCUGGAAUGCAUCGAGAUUUAAAGCUCCGGCGCCUAAGGAUGGGUCUGCGGCCUAUCAGGUAGUAGUGGGUGUAGCGUACCUACUAGCCUACGACGGGUACGGGUUGUGAGAGCAAGAGCCCGGAGAUGGAUUCUGAGACACGAAUCCAGGCCCUACGGGGUGCAGCAGGCGCGAAAACUUUGCAAUGCUGGCAACAGCGAUAAGGGAACCUCGAGUGCCAGGUUACAAAUCUGGCUGUCGAGAUGCCUAAAAAGCAUUUCAUAGCAAGGGCCGGGCAAGACCGGUGCCAGCCGCCGCGGUAACACCGGCGGCUCGAGUGGUAACCGUUAUUAUUGGGUCUAAAGGGUCUGUAGCCGGCCGGAUAAGUCUCUUGAGAAAUCUGGCAGCUUAACGGUCAGGCUUUCAGGAGAUACUGUCUGGCUCGAGGCCGGGAGAGGUGAGAGGUACUUCAGGGGUAGGGGUGAAAUCUUGUAAUCCUUGAAGGACCACCAGUGGCGAAGGCGUCUCACCAGAACGGACCUGACGGCAAGGGACGAAAGCUAGGGGCACGAACCGGAUUAGAUACCCGGGUAGUCCUAGCCGUAAACGAUACUCGCUAGGUGUCGGCCACGGUGCGGCCGUUGUCGGUGCCGUAGGGAAGCCGUGAAGCGAGCCACCUGGGAAGUACGGCCGCAAGGCUGAAACUUAAAGGAAUUGGCGGGGGAGCAC
This 793-nucleotide ribosomal RNA is filed under the name uncultured archaeon. RNAcentral's name for it is "bacterial SSU rRNA". It matches the Rfam family "Archaeal small subunit ribosomal RNA", at positions 85 to 879 of the family's 1478-position model. The record is from RNAcentral.